RNAcentral lists this transfer RNA (68 nucleotides) under human gut metagenome. It matches the Rfam family "tRNA". Rfam says of the family: Transfer RNA (tRNA) molecules are approximately 80 nucleotides in length. RNAcentral also lists the same sequence under 1 other name. The record is from RNAcentral.
CGACUUAGCUCAGCUGGCAGAGCAGCUGAUUUGUAAUCAGCCGGUCGUUGGUUCAAAUCCGACAGUCG